AGAAUAUCUGGUGACGAGUUCUCCUCCAAUGUGCUGAAUGCUUUAAUCUCUUUUGACAGUUGACAAGAUGAUCUUUAAAGAACCUCACCUGUUUCUUGCUUCUUGAGUCACACAAGAUUUCGUUCUUCUGCCUAAUCAUCAAUAAAUGUUCACAGGAUGAAAGCAAAUGUGAUUGUACCCCACUCACUAUUCAAAUUCAAAGUUCUUGAUUGAUUAAAAGUGCCUGGAGUAUGUACUUGGUCAAACUGAUUUGUCCACUUCCAAAUUCCGUCACCGUCCUCUCUCUCUUUCAUCGGCUCCCCACCCCUCUGCUAAGCGCUAGCAAGAGAAUAUUUUACCCACUUUAUGAGCUGGUAUAUUUUAAUCUUUUUUGUUCUCAUCCUCCCCAGAAAAUAGUAGUACUCGCUACCUAGCAAAAGGAGUUUUUUUUUUUUUUUUAAACAGAGAAGUAUCGGUACUACUUCACCAUUUCCAGUGAGAACAGUAAUAUUUUAUCCAUUGGGUACUACUCAAUUAUCAAAUUCACUUUGCUACAUUAUAAAUUUUUAUAAAAACUGCAAUCCAAAGACGACCCACCUUCUUUCCUCUGCAGUCUGCACAUCCAAAGAUAGGUUGAGCUGAGGUGAGAACUGUGCCAGCCAAAAAGAAAGCGAAUCCCAAACACCACAGCAUCAAAACCUAUACCCUUUUUUGGUAGAAGAAAAAAGAAUCAUUUUUUGGGGUAGUUGAAUUGAAUCCCAUUAUUCAAUACUGCUACCAAGUUUCAAUCUUUCCUCACUUUUUAAUCAAAACCCAUCUCUCAAGUGUAGUUUAAUCAAGUGUAGUUUAAUUGACUGCAGAUUUGGCAGCUGUCUCCCUCUUUUAAUUAGUCUAGUGGCCAAGAGUGUAUCGAAUAAUGUAACGAGUAUGGGAUAAGUGAUUUGUUUAAUUUUUAAUGGUGAUCACUCUUAACAAGAUGUUUGUCUGGCCUAGAUUUGCGGGCUCAAUCUCUAGAUUUGUUGCUAAUAGUCCAAUGUGUAUUCAUAUUGAUAUUGAAUUUGGGUUGCAUUUGGUCAAUGUAGGGUCAGGGCAAAAUACAGGGAAGACAGUGGCUAUAAUAUUAGGAGGGGCAGCAGGAGUGGGGUUUCUGAUCAUUUGCCUGCUGUUUACUAAAAACUUAAUGAAGAAACAUGAUGGUAAGUAUGAUUAUUUAUGGUGGUGGAUUCCUGUGUACUAUCAUUUGCUUUUAUAGAUCUUUCUUUCUUAAUUUAUUCUAUCAUAAUUAUGGGUGUGCUGUUGUUGUGCAGAUUCUUGAAGGAGCCCUUGUUUUUGUAAAUUAAAAGUUUUUUGAGGUGAAUGGUUCCUCUGAGUUUGUUAUUUUUCUAGAGAUUGUGGAAGGGAGGAGAGGGGAAAGAAGUUAGUUUCGGGAAAACUUCUCACUGUUAGGCAGAAACAAAUUUUGGGGCAUGAAACUGAGGACGGGAUGCUUGCAUCUAAAAGGAGGAUGUAAGAUGUAUGCUUGUCGAGUCUGAAAAAGAUGAGGAAGAGUACUAAUGGAUCUUGGCCUUUUUCUCAUUUACCAUGUGCAUAUUUGUCUCUUUUCUUCCUUGUCUUGAAUACUGCUCCUCCAUUUUCCUCAAAACUUUUUUGCUUUUUAUAAAGCUCUCUCUCUCUCUCUCUCUCUCCCCCUCUGUGUGUGUGUGUGUUGUGUGUGUGGUGGUGUCUGGAAGUGUAACAUACUUAGGUUAUCAUUUAUCACCUUGUCAAAGAGUGUUUGUUCAGUACUCCUAUGUGUAUAUGUCUGCUACCUCAUUUGAUUCUGCUGAAAAAGGGAAAAGG
RNAcentral lists this long non-coding RNA (1818 nucleotides) under Coffea arabica (coffee). RNAcentral's name for it is "long non-coding RNA (CARA_LNC002119)". Lineage: Eukaryota; Viridiplantae; Streptophyta; Magnoliopsida; Gentianales; Rubiaceae. The record is from RNAcentral.